This 252-nucleotide ribosomal RNA is filed under the name uncultured bacterium. RNAcentral's name for it is "partial 16S ribosomal RNA". It matches the Rfam family "Bacterial small subunit ribosomal RNA", at positions 524 to 776 of the family's 1533-position model. The record is from RNAcentral.
UACGUAGGGGGCAAGCGUUAUCCGGAAUUAUUGGGCGUAAAGAGUACGUAGGUGGCAACCUAAGCGCAGGGUCUAAGGCAAUGGCUCAACCAUUGUUCGCCCUGCGAACUGGGAUGCUUGAGUGCAGGAGAGGAAAGCGGAAUUCCUAGUGUAGCGGUGAAAUGCGUAGAUAUUAGGAGGAACACCAGUGGCGAAGGCGGCUUUCUGGACUGUAACUGACACUGAGGUACGAAAGCGUGGGGAGCAAACAGG